RNAcentral lists this ribosomal RNA (253 nucleotides) under uncultured bacterium. RNAcentral describes it as "partial 16S ribosomal RNA". It matches the Rfam family "Bacterial small subunit ribosomal RNA", at positions 524 to 776 of the family's 1533-position model. The record is from RNAcentral.
UACGAAGGGGGGCUAGCGUUGCUCGGAAUCACUGGGCGUAAAGCGCACGUAGGCGGCUUUUUAAGUCAGGGGUGAAAUCCUGGAGCUCAACUCCAGAACUGCCUUUGAUACUGAGAGCUUGAGUCCGGGAGAGGUGAGUGGAACUGCGAGUGUAGAGGUGAAAUUCGUAGAUAUUCGCAAGAACACCAGUGGCGAAGGCGGCUCACUGGCCCGGUACUGACGCUGAGGUGCGAAAGCGUGGGGAGCGAACAGG